ACAGUGUGGCAAAAGUUUAGGACUACAGGGGACAACAGUGAACUGUGCAUGGGCUGAGCUCGAGAGAACUUGCUGAGGUCCCGUAGAAAAUAAUACCGACUGUGGCAUCAUAC
This is a long non-coding RNA of Ochotona curzoniae (black-lipped pika), 113 nucleotides long. RefSeq lists it as uncharacterized. The transcript is spliced from 3 exons. The record is from RefSeq and is a predicted model, not a curated record. Lineage: Eukaryota; Metazoa; Chordata; Mammalia; Lagomorpha; Ochotonidae.